Molecule: ribosomal RNA, 562 nt
Filed under: uncultured bacterium
Lineage: Bacteria
Description: bacterial SSU rRNA
Rfam family: Bacterial small subunit ribosomal RNA
Source: RNAcentral
CCUACGGGAGGCAGCAGUAGGGAAUAUUGCACAAUGGGGAAAGCCUGAUGCAGCAACGCCGCGUGCGCGAUGAAGGUCUUCGGAUCGUAAAGCGCUUUUCUGAGAGAUGAGAAAGGACAGUAUCCCAGGAAUAAGUCUCGGCUAACUACGUGCCAGCAGCCGCGGUAAAACGUAGGAGGCGAGCGUUAUCCGGAUUCACUGGGCGUAAAGCGCGUGCAGGUGGUUCGGUAAGUUGGGCGUGAAAUCUCCCGGCUCAACUGGGAGAGGUCGUUCAAUACUACCGGACUUGAGAGCAGAAGAGGAAGAUGGAAUUCCCGGUGUAGUGGUGAAAUGCGUAGAUAUCGGGAGGAACACCAGUGGCGAAGGCGAUCUUCUGGUCUGUUUCUGACACUCAGACGCGACAGCUAGGGUAGUAAACGGGAUUAGAGACCCCGGUAAUCCUAGCCGUAAACGAUGUGAACUUGGCGUUGGUGGGUUAAACUCCAUCAGUGCCGAAGCAAACGCGAUAAGUUCACCGCCUGGGGACUACCGCCGCAGGUUUAAAACUCAAAGGAAUUGACGG